This 353-nucleotide ribosomal RNA is filed under the name Eukaryota sp. RNAcentral describes it as "SSU rRNA". It matches the Rfam family "Eukaryotic small subunit ribosomal RNA", at positions 1325 to 1699 of the family's 1831-position model. The record is from RNAcentral.
GCGAUAACGAACGAGACCUCGACCUGCUAAAUAGUUCUAGUCAUCUUCUGAUGGCUGGAUACUUCUUAGAGGGACUAUCGGUGGUUAGCCGAUGGAAGUUCGAGGCAAUAACAGGUCUGUGAUGCCCUUAGAUGUUCUGGGCUGCACGCGCGCUACACUGAUACGUUCAUCGAGCUCCUACCUUGACUGGAAAGUCUGGGUAAUCUUAUCAACGCGUAUCGUGAUGGGGAUAGAUUAUUGUAAUUUUUGAUCUUCAACGAGGAAUUCCUAGUAAACGCGCGUCAUUAACGCGCAUUGAUUACGUCCCUGCCCUUUGUACACACCGCCCGUCGCUAAUACCGAUUGAAUGGAUA